UUACAGUCACAGUGCACUUUUAUGGG
Molecule: non-coding RNA, 26 nt
Filed under: Rattus norvegicus (Norway rat)
Lineage: Eukaryota; Metazoa; Chordata; Mammalia; Rodentia; Muridae
Source: RNAcentral